This 428-nucleotide ribosomal RNA is filed under the name Pseudomonadota bacterium. RNAcentral's name for it is "Proteobacteria bacterium partial 16S ribosomal RNA". It matches the Rfam family "Bacterial small subunit ribosomal RNA", at positions 355 to 776 of the family's 1533-position model. The record is from RNAcentral. Lineage: Bacteria; Pseudomonadati; Pseudomonadota.
UGGGGAAUAUUGGACAAUGGGCGAAAGCCUGAUCCAGCCAUGCCGCGUGUGUGAAGAAGGUCUUCGGAUUGUAAAGCACUUUAAGUUGGGAGGAAGGGCAGUAAGCGAAUACCUUGCUGUUUUGACGUUACCGACAGAAUAAGCACCGGCUAACUCUGUGCCAGCAGCCGCGGUAAUACAGAGGGUGCAAGCGUUAAUCGGAAUUACUGGGCGUAAAGCGCGCGUAGGUGGUUCGUUAAGUUGAAUGUGAAAGCCCGGGCUCAACCUGGGAACUGCAUCCAAAACUGGCGAGCUAGAGUAGGGCAGAGGGUGGUGGAAUUUCCUGUGUAGCGGUGAAAUGCGUAGAUAUAGGAAGGAACACCAGUGGCGAAGGCGACCACCUGGGCUCAUACUGACACUGAGGUGCGAAAGCGUGGGGAGCAAACAGG